UAAACCGCUUUUCGAGGGGACGAAGGCAAUGACGGUACCCUCGGAAGAAGGAUCGGCUAACUACGUGCCAGCAGCCGCGGUAAUACGUAGGGGGCGAGCGUUGUCCGGAAUUAUUGGGCGUAAAGGGCGUGCAGGCGGUCUGAAUAGUCUGAUGUGAAAGGCCACGGCUCAACCGUGGGAGUGCAUUGGAAACUGUCAGACUUGAGUGCAGGAAAGGAGAGUGGAAUUCCCGGUGUAGCGGUGAAAUGCGUAGAGAUCGGGAGGAACACCAGUGGCGAAGGCGGCUCUCUGGCCUGACACUGACGCUGAGACGCGAAAGCGUGGAUAGCGAACAGGAUUAGAUACCCUGGUAGUCCACGCCGUAAACGAUGAGUGCUAGGUGUUAGGGGUUUCAAUACCCUUAGUGCCGAAGUUAACACAUUAAGCACUCCGCCUGGGGAGUACGGCCGCAAGGCUGAAACUCAAAGGAAUUGACGGGGGCCCGCACAAGCGGUGGAGCAUGUGGUUUAAUUCGAAGCAACGCGAAGCACCUUACCAGGGCUUGACAUCCUCUGACGCCUUUAGAGAUAGAGGUUUCCCUUCGGGGACAGAGAGACAGGUGGUGCAUGGUUGUCGUCAGC
RNAcentral lists this ribosomal RNA (620 nucleotides) under uncultured bacterium. RNAcentral's name for it is "bacterial SSU rRNA". It matches the Rfam family "Bacterial small subunit ribosomal RNA", at positions 426 to 1059 of the family's 1533-position model. The record is from RNAcentral.